RNAcentral lists this transfer RNA (73 nucleotides) under Gemmatimonadota bacterium. RNAcentral's name for it is "Gemmatimonadetes bacterium tRNA-Glu". It matches the Rfam family "tRNA". Rfam says of the family: Transfer RNA (tRNA) molecules are approximately 80 nucleotides in length. The record is from RNAcentral. RNAcentral also lists the same sequence under 3 other names. Lineage: Bacteria; Pseudomonadati; Gemmatimonadota.
GCCCCCUUCGUCUAGUGGCCUAGGAUACCUGGUUCUCAGCCAGGAGACAGGGGUUCGACUCCCCUAGGGGGUA